GGCGGGCGGGGCGGGGGCACGGGGGGAACGCGAAGAACCUUACCUACUCUUGACAUCCAGAGAACUUAGCAGAGAUGCUUUGGUGCCUUCGGGAACUCUGAGACAGGUGCUGCAUGGCUGUCGUCAGCUCGUGUUGUGAAAUGUUGGGUUAAGUCCCGCAACGAGCGCAACCCUUAUCCUUUGUUGCCAGCGGUUCGGUCGGGAACUCAAAGGAGACUGCCAGUGAUAAACUGGAGGAAGGUGGGGAUGACGUCAAGUCAUCAUGGCCCUUACGAGUAGGGCUACACACGUGCUACAAUGGCAUAUACAAAGAGAAGCGACCUCGCGAGAGCAAGCGGACCUCAUAAAGUAUGUCGUAGUCCGGAUUGGAGUCUGCAACUCGACUCCAUGAAGUCGGAAUCGCUAGUAAUCGUAGAUCAGAAUGCUACGGUGAAUACGUUCCCGGGUCUUGUACACACCGA
This 461-nucleotide ribosomal RNA is filed under the name Klebsiella planticola. Its description in RNAcentral is "bacterial SSU rRNA". It matches the Rfam family "Bacterial small subunit ribosomal RNA", at positions 928 to 1393 of the family's 1533-position model. The record is from RNAcentral. Lineage: Bacteria; Pseudomonadati; Pseudomonadota; Gammaproteobacteria; Enterobacterales; Enterobacteriaceae.